Molecule: ribosomal RNA, 484 nt
Filed under: uncultured bacterium
Lineage: Bacteria
Description: partial 16S ribosomal RNA
Rfam family: Bacterial small subunit ribosomal RNA
Source: RNAcentral
GACGAACGCUGGCGGCGUGCUUAACACAUGCAAGUCGAACGAUGAUGCUGGAGCUUGCUCCAGUUGAUUAGUGGCGAACGGGUGAGUAACACGUGAGCAAUCUGCCCUUGACUCUGGGAUAACUGCGGGAAACUGUAGCUAAUACCGGAUACUUUCACCGGGGGGCAUCCUCUGGUGAUGAAAGAAUUUCGGUCAAGGAUGAGCUCGCGGCCUAUCGGCUUGUUGGUGAGGUAACGGCACACCAAGGCGACGACGGGUAACCGGCCUGAGAGGGUGACCGGUCACACUGGGACUGAGACACGGCCCAGACUCCUACGGGAGGCAGCAGUGGGGAAUAUUGCACAAUGGGCGCAAGCCUGAUGCAGCAACGCCGCGUGAGGGAUGAAGGCCUUCGGGUUGUAAACCUCUUUUAGCAGGGAAGAAGCGAAAGUGACGGUACCUGCAGAAAAAGCACCGGCUAACUACGUGCCAGCCGCCGCCGUAA